Molecule: long non-coding RNA, 441 nt
Filed under: Helianthus annuus (common sunflower)
Lineage: Eukaryota; Viridiplantae; Streptophyta; Magnoliopsida; Asterales; Asteraceae
Source: RNAcentral
CUCAAAUUUGCAGAUUCACCAGUCGUCGUUAAGAAACCGGUCGGAAGAAAUAUCCAUCGGCUUGCAGUUUAGUGAACCAGAACUGAAGCGAUGAAAGCAAUCUGAUGAAGAAGCCUAAGUUGUGGAAUGAAUAUAGAUUAUGUACCGACAAAGUGUGAUGAUGGCUCAGCAAAGGCAACAACCUACUCAAGUACCCGAGUUCAGGCUAUCUCAAGAAUGGACAUAUUGAAUAACUGAAUUAGGAAAUGUUAGCUAAAUAUAGCGUAUAGUAUAGUAUACAAGAUUUUGAGAAUGGGUUUUAGUGUUAGAACUAGAAAAGUGCCCUGCGCGCGUUGCGCCGUGGGCAAAGAAAUUGACCACAUCUAUGCAUAAACUCUUGGUUGCAGCUCAUGUAUCUAACUUGAUGGAAAUAUAAAUCUAGCCCCCGCCGCAUUGCGGCGG